CCCUGCUACCCGCGACGCUGACACACCUCAACACGUCUACCUGUUUGACGACAUCCUGUCUCCAGUGGAGUAUGAUGCCCUGGAUGCUGCUGGUUCUAAGAUGGCCGCCCUGACCCCAGAGGAACUACAGAAGAUGACAGACGAUGGAGGGUGUCUGAGCGUGGUGCGUCAGUUGGAGAACCCUGCCAAGAGAGGGGCGUGGCCA
Long non-coding RNA from Coregonus clupeaformis (lake whitefish), 205 nucleotides. RefSeq lists it as uncharacterized. The transcript has 3 exons. Lineage: Eukaryota; Metazoa; Chordata; Actinopteri; Salmoniformes; Salmonidae. The record is from RefSeq and is a predicted model, not a curated record.